AUAUUGCACAAUGGGGGAAACCCUCAUGCAGCGACGCCGCGUGAGUGAAGAAGUAUUUCGGUAUGUAAAGCCCUAUCAGCAGGGAAGCAAAUGACGGUACCUGAUUAAGAAGCCACGGCUAACUACGUGCCAGCAGCCGCGGUAAUACGAAGGGGGCAAGCGUUAUCCGGAUUUACUGGGUGUAAAGGGAGCGUAGACGGCUGCACAAGUCUGGAGUGAAAUGCCGGGGCUUAACCCCGGAACUGCUUUGGAAACUGUGCAGCUAGAGUGCAGGAGAGGUAAGUGGAAUUCCUAGUGUAGCGGUGAAAUGCGUAGAUAUUAGGAGGAACACCAGUGGCGAAGGCGGCUUACUGGACUGUAACUGACGUUGAGGCUCGAAAGCGUGGGGAGCAAACAGG
Molecule: ribosomal RNA, 398 nt
Filed under: uncultured bacterium
Lineage: Bacteria
Description: bacterial SSU rRNA
Rfam family: Bacterial small subunit ribosomal RNA
Source: RNAcentral